RNAcentral lists this unclassified non-coding RNA (273 nucleotides) under uncultured fungus. RNAcentral describes it as "partial contains small subunit ribosomal RNA, internal transcribed spacer 1, and 5.8S ribosomal RNA". The stretch from base 1 to 73 matches the Rfam family "Eukaryotic small subunit ribosomal RNA", at positions 1759 to 1831 of the family's 1831-position model. The record is from RNAcentral. Lineage: Eukaryota; Fungi.
GCAAACUUGGUCAUUUAGAGGAAGUAAAAGUCGUAACAAGGUUUCCGUAGGUGAACCUGCGGAAGGAUCAUUAAUAAAGGCUUGUCGAGUCUAACUCGACAUUCCUGAUCAUACCCUUUGUGCACUUUUGAUAAUGCUUUGGUAGAUUUUUUCAAAUCUACCAAAAGUUUUAUUUUAAAAGCCUUUUUUCAUGUCUGAAAUAUAAAAAAUUUAAUUUCAAAUACAACUUUCAACAACGGAUCUCUUGGCUCUCGCAUCGAUGAAGAACGCAGC